GUUCUCAUCUCGCGGCGUAAAAUAGCACGAGCUUUGAGGGGACUAUCGGCGUACCAUUUUCAGCAAAUAGCCAAAACGGCGGACAUGGGGACGCGCUUCACGAUCAGUCACGUGACCCGAAACUUUUAAAAGACCACACGCGACCAUAAUAACCACCGCUCAUAUCGAUCCUCAUGGGAAACAGCGGGAUCCAGAGAGAAAACCAGAUGCGACCAGCCAGAGGAGAGACGGCACGGCAGAGAGGUCACAGCAGAGCAGGUGGAACAGAACGGAGGGCACGCCAUCGGAUUGUGGUUUCCACACAGUGUACGCAACGCUCUCAAUCCUGAAGCUGGGUCGUGGUUAAGCCACACCCAGGCAACGCAAGUACACUUUUGAAAUAGUUAACAUACUACUAAAAAUUAUGCUGGCUGUGAAGGCUCUUCCCACUGCUGAGACUCUUUCUCUUUCUUUCCACAUCGGAGGCAUCGGCCAGUGCCAGUGAAGUAAGGAGGAGGAACCGACUGCUGGAAGGGACGGUAAUCGGGCUGGAGCAGAAGCAGCAACAGAAGUAGCAGAAGCGCAUCGACUAAGAUGACCCCAUCCCUCCAGCCAACUUCACCAGUUGCUCCUCAUCUCAUCAAGGAGUUGGAGCAAUAGAGCGGUUUUGUCCUAGUCAUAAUGAAUGACAGUAUCAUCCCCAGAUACAACAGAUAAGUAGUAAUUGCUAUAUUUCUACUUCUAAACAUACCAACUGUUUAUAGUCUGAUAAUGAUUAAUAUUCUUCAUCCCAACUGUGCUGCUCAGUGAUGAACUACUGUCCUUUUUUGUUUGUUGCCCCUCCCCCAUUUCUUUUUCAGAUGAAGACUUCAGAAAAAGUGUCACCGGAGAGAAUAUUUGUAGGUCUGAGGAAAAUUGCCUGUUUUCAGGACAAAUUCCAAUUUUUGCUUGAGGCUGGCUUGCUUGCUGAGACUGGUAUUGCUGCUUGUAUAUUGGGAAGCAUCUACUUGGUCCUUGAAGUGAACCUUGCCAAUGUUCAGUGGACCAGUUGUUCUGAGUGGAUAUUGUUUUUGUUGUGAGACAAGUGGUCAGUGAUAUGAGGGGUGGGGAAAUGAUUAUGAGUGUGACAGCAAAAGUUAUUGGGUGCAAUCAGACACAUUUGGAAGUCCAGUAUCCCUCUCACCAAUAUCCAUUUCUUGAUUUGUCGAUUCAGCAUAUGUAGAUUCGUCCUUCUAAAGCUGGUCCCAGACCUACUGUCUUUUUAGCCCAGUUCUGUUAGGAUACCAUGGAACGUCUGUAUCAGUCCGAGGCGUAAUCGCCAGCACUCAUGGUGUUAACCCAUACGAAAAUCGACCAUGGUUUUACUGUAGUAACCAUGGUUUUCUGUAAUAACCAUGGUUUUACCAUGGCAUGUCAUGUUUUCUCUAACUUCAGUAUUGUUCACUAAGAUCAUCCCAAUUACUAAGACAUGCAUGUACCUAUCAGGAGAAGACGCACCAGGAGAGGAGGUGGUCCUUGUGUCCUUGCAGCAGGAGAGGAGACUUGGAAUGAUAUCUUAAUAAAUUGAUUAUUUUCACUUCUA
This is a long non-coding RNA of Engraulis encrasicolus (European anchovy), 1561 nucleotides long. RefSeq lists it as uncharacterized. The record is from RefSeq and is a predicted model, not a curated record. NCBI's taxonomy places the organism in Eukaryota, Metazoa, Chordata, Actinopteri, Clupeiformes, Engraulidae. The transcript is spliced from 5 exons.